Molecule: long non-coding RNA, 2303 nt
Organism: Solenopsis invicta (red fire ant)
Lineage: Eukaryota; Metazoa; Arthropoda; Insecta; Hymenoptera; Formicidae
Exons: 2
Source: RefSeq, a predicted model, not a curated record
UUGUUUUAAAAUAUUUCUAUUUGAAUAUAUUUUGUGUUGGCGAGUGAAAAAUACAAUUUAAACUUAGCGCUAGAAGCCAUGUUCUUUUGAUAUCGAUUCAAUAUCGAUCUAUCUCGACUCUAUUACAGGCGACUCUCGCCGCUCUUGCGUUAGUUUCUGGUUCUCUGUUACUAACACUGUCAUGUCUAACUUACAAUAAAAGCUUUUGUAUGUUCGUCGCAAGAGAUUUCAAUUUCUGAAAUCUCCCAGAUUUCUGUCUAUCCCAGACCCAAGAUUUUGCAAGAAUCUUUUGUGUAUUUUCUCGUUUCUGACGUGACAAUCUGAGAUUGUUGGGGGCGCAUCGUGUUGUAACGUGAAGAUCGAUCGAGGAUCGAGAUCGAUCGUCUCCGUAGUACGUGGUAUUAUUGGCUCGCGGUCGCAACGACGUGAACGUCCAUCUGUGAUGUUAUCGAUCGCCCGUCAGAAUCGUUUCUACCGACAUCACGUUCAACCAUCGUUAAAAUCGUAAGUACAUACAUACAUUGUCAACUACGGCACACACGAAAGAGCGUACGACUGUUUUCUCCUCGUUCAAGAACAAGAGCGAUCACAUCCGAUCUGUUUCCCGCGGGAUUCUCUUCCGGAAAAGAAACGCUCGCACGUGAUUAGCGCGGCUACAGUUCAAACAUGACUUAAUAUCCAAUAUGUGUGUUUAAAUCUAUCAAGUGAAACAUACAUCCAAACAUGCACACAAAUAAAAUUUCAAUAUUUUUUCAUAUUCAGCGUUUUUCUUUCUUUGUAAUUUUGUUCAUUUAGAUGCAAACCGUAACAUCCACAAUUAAAAUCGAAUAAAAUUGCUCUAUAAAUGUAUGUAAGGUAUUUCAGGUUUUCCGCCCAUUUUUCUCCGUGUUUAUAAAUUAUAAAUUUUUUCAAUUUAUUGUGCAUUGCUUAAAACAUUUUUCUUUUAAUAUACAUAAAUGUAUAAAUAAUUUUUAAUUGUUGAAGGGAUUGACAACGGGAAAUUUAUCGUUACGAUUUAUAUUGAUAUCGAUAUGGUAGAAAUUAAAGUCUUAUUAAUCACGCGGAGACUCGAUAUGCACUUUGCAAUUAGCAUAUAAUCGAAUGAAUGUCGAUGCUGUGUCGUCGCGCUAAUCCGAUACGAGCGUCGAUGAUUAGUUCCUCCUCAGACAUGCGACACGUGCGCUUUGCAUUUUCCCCCCUUGUUCUGAUUCUCUUGUUCUUCGUUCGUCGUGCUGGAAGGAAGAAGGUUUACAUCGAUCGUGUAAUGAAAAAGGAGGCGGACGCAUUCGGCGCAAUUUAGGAACUUGGCUCGAAACGCGAUGCGGAUGACCCGCUUAAAGGCGAUGCUGGAGUCUGUAUUAUAGACAAAAAUACCAUUUUUUUAAAAACAAGUUAUACUUCGUAUUGGUUUUACAGAAAUAAAAUUUUUUUACAAAACUAAAAUACACAUGCUAAUGUAUACGGCUUUGGUCCAUUUUUUUGCCAUCGACUUUUACUUUAAUAUGGCGACCAACACCGUUAAUUCAGAUACGUUUAUUUCGUGGAAACGUUAUGCAGGUUAUUUAUGCGAAAUAAAGACAGAGCCAGGUGUAGAUUAAAUGAAUGAAUAAUGUCGAAUCGUUGGAAUUAAGUCGGGAAGCCUAAUUUAAGAAAAUAGAACGUUUGAUAAAUUGUGCAUGUAUACGUGAGAUCUCGGUGUAGUGGUACGUGGGAUCUGUUGAUGUUUCGUAAAUCGCGUGUGAGUCGAGUUUAUCGGUAAAACUGGCGACUCUAGCAUCGCCUUAAACCUUAAACGUUAUCGCAAUCGCGUGGAACAACGUGUUCGCACUACGCGAUUUUGCAGUGACAUCCACAUGCAAUUUUCCAUCGUGUCGCAUCAUUUUUUCAUAGUAUCGUAGCGUUGUAGCUAUUAUAUGUACGACAUUAUGGCGCAACAAUCAUAUAUAAUAGUUCGCAUUUUGGUUAGCACAAUUCAAUACACUUUGUAGCGUAGAGAAACGAUUUUAUCGUAACAUGAUAAAAUUGAGUAGCGUAAAUUACGCUCCCGUUCCCUUCGGAGGAUCCAAUUAGUUUGAAAAAAUUUCUCUUAUCGAACCACAAAGCACGUGGUUACAAAUAUAUAUAUAAACGUUUCUACAGAUUAUUUUAUUACCUCUCUAAAUAAUGCGCUUGUGCCGUUUGAUCGCGAAUCCUCUUAUCGUGCUGUCGCGAGAAAGACUUAACUCCGAAAGAAUAAGUCUUCUUGCUCUGAUGUUGAUAUCAGGAGUUCGGAAAGGAUCAGGUGGGACGUAACAGGUGGGCUC